CGUAGGUGGCAAGCGUUGUCCGGAUUUAUUGGGUUUAAAGGGUGCGUAGGCGGUCUUGUAAGUCAGUGGUGAAAUACGGCAGCUUAACUGUCGAGGUGCCAUUGAUACUGCAGGACUUGAGUACAGACGUGGUAGGCGGAAUUGACGGUGUAGCGGUGAAAUGCUUAGAUAUCGUCAAGAACACCGAUAGCGAAGGCAGCUUACUAGACUGUAACUGACGCUGAUGCACGAAAGUGUGGGGAUCAAACAGGAUUAGAUACCCUGGUAGUCCACACUGUAAACGACGAUUACUCGAUGUUGGCGAUACACAGCCAGCGUCUUAGCGAAAGCGAUAAGUAAUCCACCUGGGGAGUACGCCGGCAAACGGUG
This 369-nucleotide ribosomal RNA is filed under the name uncultured organism. RNAcentral describes it as "bacterial SSU rRNA". It matches the Rfam family "Bacterial small subunit ribosomal RNA", at positions 526 to 896 of the family's 1533-position model. The record is from RNAcentral.